This 437-nucleotide ribosomal RNA is filed under the name Schedorhinotermes putorius. Its description in RNAcentral is "partial 12S ribosomal RNA". The record is from RNAcentral. Lineage: Eukaryota; Metazoa; Arthropoda; Insecta; Blattodea; Rhinotermitidae.
UAAACUAGGAUUAGAUACCCUAUUAUUUUUAAGUGUUAAUUUUAUUUCCUAGGUAGUAUUAGCUAUGUUCUUGAAACCUAAAGAAUUUGGCGGUACUUUAUUCCGAUUAGAGGAAUCUGCCCUGUUAUCGAUAAUCCGCGUUGUACCUUACUUAGUUUGUUUGUUUGUAUACCGCCGUAUAUUGAUUAUCAUUUUAGUGUUUGAAAUUUUCUUGAUUCAUAAUUUUGCUUUAUUUCAGGUCAAGGUGCAGCUUUUAUCUAAGUGUGAGGUGGAUUACAUUGGUUUUUUGUUAUUGGAUUAUUUGUUGUUAAAUUUGUAUGAAAUUGGAUUUGAUUGUAAUGUUUGGAUGAAGAUUGUUCUCAUGAUAAUUGGUUCUAAGGUAUGUACACAUCGCCCGUCGCUCUCAUUUUUUUAAUGAGAUAAGUCGUAACAUAGUA